CGUUACAAAAGAACCAUGAAAGCCUUUCUCUUCAUUUCCCUUACUUUAGCUUCUGCAUUAUUCUUCACCUCUUUGCAGGAAACAUCAGCUUCUGGAAAAAGCAAAUUAAACACUUACAUUGUAUUUGUAGAGAAGCCAGAAAGCCUAUUAUCCACACAAUCAACUGAUAUAAAUGACUGGUACAAAACAUUCCUUCCUGCAACUACCUUAAAAAGCUCGAGCGAAGAGACACGCAUCGUGCAUUCAUAUCAGAAUGUGAUCACGGGCUUUGCUGCUAAGCUUACACAAGAAGAAGCAAAAGAAAUGGAGCAGAAGGAUGGGUUUGUCUCAGCAAGAGUUGACCGAGCCUUGUCUCUACAUACAACUCACACUCCUAAGUUUUUGGGUCUCCGGCAGAAUCUAGGAGCCGGUUGGAACGCUUCAAAUCUUGGCAAAGGAGUGAUUAUUGGUGUUAUUGACAGCGGCAUCCAGUAUGAUCAUCCUUCGUUUCGCGACAAAGGUAUGCCUCCACCUCCUGCAAAAUGGAAAGGCAAGUGUGAGAUCAAUGGCAAGAUGACUUGUAACAACAAGCUCAUCGGUACUAGAAGCUUUGUCUCUCCGGGAAAUCUAACGGAAGACGAACUCCAUGGAACUCAUACUGCUGGGGAAGCUGCUGGAACUGCUGUGGACGGUGCCAAUGUGUUUGGACAAGCUAAUGGAACUGCAAUGGGGAUCGCCCCAUUUGCCCACUUGGCGAUGUACAAGGUUUGUAUAACUAGUUUUGAAUGCUUUGAGAGUAUGGUAUUGGCAGCAAUGGAUGCUGCUAUAG
Molecule: long non-coding RNA, 808 nt
Filed under: Linum usitatissimum (flax)
Lineage: Eukaryota; Viridiplantae; Streptophyta; Magnoliopsida; Malpighiales; Linaceae
Description: long non-coding RNA (LUSI_LNC004459)
Source: RNAcentral